AUGUUAAUUUAAUUUAAUAAAUAAUUUGUUUUAUUUUAUUUUUUUAUUAAAAUUAAUUUUUUUGUUAAAGUAUUAAUUAAAAAUAAAAUUUUUUAUUAAAUCCUGAAAAGAAUAAUUUUUUAAAUUUUUAAAAGUAAAAAUUUUAUUUGUACCUUUUGUAUCAGGGUAAAUUAAUUAUAUUUAAUGAUUUAUUUAUCCCGAAAUAUGAUGAUUAAAGAAAGCUUGAUAGUUAUUGUAACAUAAAUAUUAUUAAAUUUUUCUUGGAAAUGAAAUUUUAUCGACUCAUAUGAUAUCUGGUAUCUUAAGAAUUGAAUUCAAUUCAUGAUUAAUAAAAUAAUUUUAUUUUUAUUUUAAACUUAUAUAUUAAUCAAAUUAUAUCGAGGACAAGCUAGAUAUAAAUAACUAUAUUUGUUUUUAAAAUAUUUAGAUAGGCUUGAUAACAGCCAUUUUAGACUAAGUUAAAUUUCAAAAUUUAAUAUAACUUAUUUUUAAGUCAUUAGAUUAUUAUUAAGAAUAUCAAUAUAAUUAAAAAUUCAAUUUAAAAUGAUUUAAUUAGUAUAAAUUGUUUAAUUAUAAUUAUGAAUUAGGCAAAAAUAAUUUUCACCUGUUUAUCAAAAACAUGUCCUUUAGAAAAGAAAUUAAAGGUCUAAUCUGCCCAAUGAUUUUUGAAUGGCCGCGGUAAUCUGACCGUGCAAAGGUAGCAUAAUAAUUAGUCUUUUAAUUGAAGGCUGGAAUGAAGGAUUGAAUGAGAAAUUAACUUUAUUAACAUAAUUAUUUAUAAUUUAAUUUUUAGAUAAAAAAGUCUAAAUAUUUUAGUGGGACGAGAAGACCCUAUAGAGUUUAAAAUUAAUUUUUAAUUAUUGAAUUUAGAUUUAUUGAGUCAAUUAAUUAAUUAAUUAGUUUUUUGUUGGGGUGAUAUUAAAAUAAAUUUAACUUUUAAUAAAUUUAUCAUUAAUUAAUGUUUUAUUGAUCCAAUUUAUUUUUUGAAUGAAAGAUUAAAUUACCUUAGGGAUAACAGCGUAAUUAGUUUGGAGAGUUCAAAUCGAUAAAUUAGUUUGCGACCUCGAUGUUGGAUUAAGAUAAGAUAUUGGAGCAGAUUUCAUUAAAACUAGGUCUGUUCGACCUUUUAAUUCUUACAUGAUCUGAGUUCAAACCGGUGUAAGCCAGGUUGGUUUCUAUCUACUUAAUAAAUUUUAAUGUUAGUACGAAAGGACCACAUUAAAUAAUAAUAUUAU
This 1235-nucleotide ribosomal RNA is filed under the name Cryptotympana atrata. Its description in RNAcentral is "16S ribosomao RNA". The stretch from base 815 to 1184 matches the Rfam family "Archaeal large subunit ribosomal RNA", at positions 2151 to 2715 of the family's 2987-position model. Lineage: Eukaryota; Metazoa; Arthropoda; Insecta; Hemiptera; Cicadidae. The record is from RNAcentral.